This 1026-nucleotide long non-coding RNA is filed under the name Solanum tuberosum (potato). Its description in RNAcentral is "long non-coding RNA (STUB_LNC009299)". Lineage: Eukaryota; Viridiplantae; Streptophyta; Magnoliopsida; Solanales; Solanaceae. The record is from RNAcentral.
GCAUGCCUUCAUAUAUAUAUAAGCAGUUACAAAAAUCAGAUUAACAUCCCAUCAGUAGCAAUGUAGCAUUCUACAACCCAAUAGUAGUCAUUACAUUCAAUAUACGAAAUUUGAAAAGUUGUCAAAUUGUCUCGGCAUAAUGAUAAUCUCAUCUUUGCUUUUGGUCGGAGACUUGUAAAUUCAUCAAAUCAUCUAAACCCUGUCAAAGACAUAAUAAAUAAUGUUUAUAACUACUAAAAAUUCCACUAGAGAACUGAAAUUAAACAUAGUUUAGACCAUCUAAUAGAUCUAAAUUUCAACUUGCCAAUUUAAACGUUGCACUCAAUUCUAAAGCAAUGUUAUAAGAAAUACAUAAUCUUUCAUCUAUAGAUGAACAUGUAGCUGCAAAUUUAUGGACAAAAUAUCAAUGAUAAAAGUAGAGUAUAUACUUUCUAAUAUGUUAAGUCAUACAAAAAACUUACGUAGAACAAGUAGUAAGAUUGUAACAUCUACCAAGUCUAGGAAUAGAUAACAUGACUACAUGUUUUUAGAAUUAAAUAGACAUUAUAUGUAUGAAGAUUUUUUUAAAUUAAUGAUUGAUUGUUGUGUUAGUAGAUAAUGCACUUCACAAACAUGGUAUGUGAUUGAAAGUCCAAAUGUUGCUACAAUCAACGUAACUAUAAUAGAAAGAGAAGGGCUGGCACAACUUGAUAUUGCUUCCUCGAAUUUCAUCCAAGUCCACUUUGACUUUAAGGGAAAAGAAAAAGAUUUUCUAGAUAAGAAAAUAAACCUAAAGGCUCAAUUUAGGGGAAAAGCAGAUCUCGAACUUUUGGAGGUUUUCAUACAUUCCCUCAUGAAGCUUAGCCUCAUUGUACCAAAAUUCAUAGGUUCUUUAAUGAUUUCAUAGUAAUCUUCCACCAUAAUAGAAACAGAAGAUGUAAUUUAUUAAGAAUACCUGGCCUUCAAAAACCAAAGCCAAUCAUAAGACCAAUAGAACCUCAGCGCGAUCAACUGGUUCUGCAAAUAUUUAAUGGGUAUUCAUCCCUC